Molecule: ribosomal RNA, 245 nt
Filed under: uncultured Gemmatimonas sp.
Lineage: Bacteria; Pseudomonadati; Gemmatimonadota; Gemmatimonadia; Gemmatimonadales; Gemmatimonadaceae
Description: partial 16S ribosomal RNA
Rfam family: Bacterial small subunit ribosomal RNA
Source: RNAcentral
UACGGAGGGUGCGAGCGUUGUCCGGAAUCACUGGGCGUAAAGGGCGCGUAGGCGGUGGGAGAAGUCUGUGGUGAAAGCUCGUGGCUCAACUACGAGUCGGCCAUGGAUACUCUUCGACUUGAGCACUGUAGAGGCAGGUGGAAUUCCGGGUGUAGCGGUGGAAUGCGUAGAGAUCCGGAAGAACACCGGUGGCGAAGGCGGCCUGCUGGGCAGUAGCUGACGCUGAGGCGCGACAGCGUGGGGAG